Molecule: transfer RNA, 56 nt
Filed under: Triticum aestivum (bread wheat)
Lineage: Eukaryota; Viridiplantae; Streptophyta; Magnoliopsida; Poales; Poaceae
Also listed under: 1 other name
Rfam family: tRNA
About the family: Transfer RNA (tRNA) molecules are approximately 80 nucleotides in length. Their secondary structure includes four short double-helical elements and three loops (D, anti-codon, and T loops). Further hydrogen bonds mediate the characteristic L-shaped molecular structure. tRNAs have two regions of fundamental functional importance: the anti-codon, which is responsible for specific mRNA codon recognition, and the 3' end, to which the tRNAs corresponding amino acid is attached (by aminoacyl-tRNA synthetases). tRNAs cope with the degeneracy of the genetic code in two manners: having more than one tRNA (with a specific anti-codon) for a particular amino acid; and 'wobble' base-pairing, i.e. permitting non-standard base-pairing at the 3rd anti-codon position.
Source: Rfam by way of RNAcentral
GAUCAAUUGGUAGAUCACAAGGCUCUUAACCUUAUGGAUGUGGGUUCGAGCCCCAU